RNAcentral lists this ribosomal RNA (78 nucleotides) under Salvator merianae (Argentine black and white tegu). Lineage: Eukaryota; Metazoa; Chordata; Lepidosauria; Squamata; Teiidae. The record is from RNAcentral.
AUCUUAGAAGCUACGCGUGUCACGCCUUGUUAGUACUUGGAUGGGAGACCACAUGGGAAUACCAUGUGAUUUAGGCUA